This 253-nucleotide ribosomal RNA is filed under the name uncultured bacterium. RNAcentral's name for it is "partial 16S ribosomal RNA". It matches the Rfam family "Bacterial small subunit ribosomal RNA", at positions 524 to 776 of the family's 1533-position model. The record is from RNAcentral.
UACGUAGGGUGCAAGCGUUGUCCGGAAUUAUUGGGCGUAAAGAGCUCGUAGGCGGUCUGUUGCGUCGGCUGUGAAAACCCGGGGCUCAACUCCGGGCCUGCAGCCGAUACGGGCAGACUAGAGUUCGGCAGGGGAGACUGGAAUUCCUGGUGUAGAGGUGAAAUGCGCAGAUAUCAGGAGGAACACCGGUGGCGAAGGCGGGUCUCUGGGCCGAUACUGACGCUGAGGAGCGAAAGCGUGGGGAGCAAACAGG